RNA transcript from Rattus norvegicus (Norway rat), 2563 nucleotides. It is a transcript of the gene named WD repeat domain 76, pseudogene 1, with no coding region annotated. NCBI's taxonomy places the organism in Eukaryota, Metazoa, Chordata, Mammalia, Rodentia, Muridae. The record is from RefSeq and is a predicted model, not a curated record.
AAUGAAUAUAAAGAAAAUGAAAAUAUUGCAUAUACUUCUCUGAGACCGAUACAGAUUACAACUAGAAGGAAAACAGCUAAGGUUUAUCUCUACCCGUUUUCGCUCAGCAACCCCAAGCUAGGCCUGUUUAAGUUGUCCAAAUCCCCGGUUGAGAACAAGUCUAGCAGUGAAAUGGUCCAAAAAAAGACAGAUCAGAAGAAAACUUGUAGAAGGGUUUUAACUUCAAAGAUGAAGGCCUUAUCUUCCAAGGCAGAGUCCCGCCUGCUGAAACCGUCUUUGGAUUCUCAUACUGAAAGUAGCGAGCUGGAACACAAGAGCACCUCGGAUCCAGUGACUCCUAGUGUGGACAUGGAGAGCAGCGACGAAGACAGCGCACCAGGCCCGGAUGAUUUUUCAGGAUUGUCACCUUAUGAGAGGAAGAGAAUGAAGAACAUCAGAGAAAACGCAAACUUUUUUGCUUCCCUUCAGUUAGCUGAGUCAGCUGCAAGGCUCCGUGGAAUGAUAAAGAAGAACCAGCCACCUGAAUCAAAGAGAAAGAGGCCUAAGAAGAAAGAAAAUGAAGUCGGAUGUCGAAGGUCCAUGCGGUUGUUGAAAGUAGACCCUUUGGGAGUUUCAUUGCCAGCAUCUCUAACACAGCCAACGCUCGUAGAAGAAGAGACUCCUAUGAUACCUCCUGGACCCUUAGAAAUGAUUCCUGAAAACCAAGAUGACCGCAGCGAACUGUUCAAAGCCUCUCUGAAGACAUGGGCAGAGAUGAGUCAGACAAGUAAUGAGAAGACCGAGAAGGGGCUAUCUAGUAUUAAAAGCUACAAAGCCAGUUUAAGUGGUAUGGUCGUCAGCGAAGCCACUGUUCGUAAGGUGACCAAAGGAGCGAUCUCCUCUGUGGCUAUCCAUCCAUCGGGAGUGAGGACCUUGGUAGCAGCUGGGUCCAAGUCUGGACAAGUUGGACUCUGGGAUUUGACCCAGCAGAGUGAAGAUGGGGCGUAUGCCUUCUGUCCUCACAGCCAGCCUGUUAGCUGCCUUUCCUUCUCACCCACCAACCCAGCCCACCUACUGUCCCUGAGCUAUGACGGCACCGUGCACUGUGGCGAUUUUUCCACGGCUGUGUUUGAAGAGGUGUACAGGAACGAGAGAAAUAGCCUGUCCUCCUUUGACUUCUUGGACGAUGCCUCUACUCUGCUAGUGGGACACUGGAGUGGACAUUUGUCACUGGUGGAUAGAAGGACACCUGGGACUUCUUACGAGAAGUUUAUAAAUUCGUCUUUGGAAAAAAUCAGAACUGUUCAUGUCCACCCGUUAUCCAGACAGUAUUUUAUCACGGCAGGAUUGAGGGACGUUCAUGUUUAUGAUGUCAGGUGCCUGAAGUCCGGGAAAAGCCAGCCUUUGAUCUCCCUGACUGAGCACUCUAAGAGCAUCGCCUCUGCGUACUUCUCCCCCAUUACUGGUAACUGAAUGGUGACCACAUGUGCUGACUGUAAGCUCAGGGUCUUUGACAGUAGCUCCUUAUCUUCCCAGUUUCCUCUCGUCAGCACCAUCAGGCACAACACUAUCACUGGGAGGUGGCUAACAAGGUUCCAAGCUGUGUGGGACCCUAAACAAGAAGAUUGCUUCACAGUUGGUAGCAUGGCCCACCCACGGCGGGUAGAAGUCUUCUGCGAGACGGGGAAGAACGUGCAUUCUUUUGGGGGAGAGUGUCUUGUAUCUGUGUGUUCCCUCAGUGUUAUGCACCCUACACGAUAUAUUCUGGCUGGAGGUAAUUGCAGUGGGAGGUUACAUGUUUUUAUGCACCAAGAAACCUGAGUUAUGGGGUAGGGUCAACAAACUGUUCCAAUUGCUCUGUAGCUAAGGAACCUAGAGACUUGUUGGACUCAACUUCGUGCAUCUGUCUGGUCGUGUAGCAUACUUAGUAAAUAGAGCAUUGCUUUCCCAGGGAGACCUCCAUGCAGAAUGUGCUAAGAUGUUCCAGUGCACUUGUCCGCUUCCAGCACUUCUAAUUAGGCUGUACUUUUCAAAAUUCUAACAUUCUAAAGCUUUCAGUGGUCAUUAUUAACCUUUUGUGGCAUAAUGAGACCAUUUUGAUGCAAUAGUAAUCUGUAGAUCUGUGAUUUACUUAGUUUGGGGUAAAUAUUUAUUUCUCAACACUGGACUAGGUCCUAAAAGGUCAUCUAAUUAUGAAACAUUAUUGAACUGCAGAGACUGUCUCAUGUUUGACAAGUAUUCUGCUGACUCAUACCCCACCUUUGAAACUUAAAUGGUUGUUUUGCUUUGUUCUUGAGACUGGAUCUUGCUAUGUAGCCGAGGUUGGCUUUGAACUUGGUCCUUCUGCCUCACUUUUCCAAGUGCUAGGACUGUAGGUAUGUACUACAUGCCCAGCCAGAACUUAGUUUCAUAAGCUAAGAGCUGUUUUUGAGUCCUUGUAUCUCAGUUCAGUGUUACUUGAAAUCCCAGAAUAGUCACUGGAGAACAGAUGGCUUCUAUGACUCGGGCCCACUUGGAGCUCUGUCCUCUGCCUCUGGGUAGCUCCUGAAAUGGCCCGGGACAGCACUGUGUUUUAACUCACACC